UGGUAUUCAAGACAGAGGACCUGAUAGC
RNAcentral lists this non-coding RNA (28 nucleotides) under Homo sapiens (human). Lineage: Eukaryota; Metazoa; Chordata; Mammalia; Primates; Hominidae. The record is from RNAcentral.